This 407-nucleotide ribosomal RNA is filed under the name Plestiodon quadrilineatus. RNAcentral's name for it is "partial 12S ribosomal RNA". It matches the Rfam family "Bacterial small subunit ribosomal RNA", at positions 781 to 1394 of the family's 1533-position model. The record is from RNAcentral. Lineage: Eukaryota; Metazoa; Chordata; Lepidosauria; Squamata; Scincidae.
GAUACCCCACUAUGCUCAGCCGUAAACCAAGGCGAUACAAACACAAUACCGCCCGCCAGAGAACUACAAGUGAAAAACUCAAAACUCCAAGGACUUGGCGGUGCUCCAUAUCAACCUAGAGGAGCCUGUCCUAUAAUCGACAAUCCACGCUCUACCCCACCAUCUCUUGCCCCCAGCCUAUAUACCGCCGUCGAAAGCCUACCUUAUGAAAGAGAUACAGUAAGCAGAAUAGUUAUCAACUAGUACGUCAGGUCAAGGUGUAGCACAUGAGAUGGAAGAGAUGGGCUACAUUCUCUACCACAGAGAACACGAACAGUUUAAUGAAACUUAGACUAAAAGGCGGAUUUAGAAGUAAGACAAACAAGAAAUUUUGCCUUAAAUCAGCUCUGGAGCGCGCACACACCGCC